Molecule: ribosomal RNA, 433 nt
Filed under: uncultured bacterium
Lineage: Bacteria
Description: partial 16S ribosomal RNA
Rfam family: Bacterial small subunit ribosomal RNA
Source: RNAcentral
AACGAACGCUGGCGGCAUGCCUAACACAUGCAAGUCGAACGAGACCUUCGGGUCUAGUGGCGCACGGGUGCGUAACGCGUGGGAACCUGCCCUUAGGUUCGGAAUAACUCCCCGAAAGGGGUGCUAAUACCGGAUAAUGUCUUCGGACCAAAGAUUUAUCGCCUUUGGAUGGGCCCGCGUUGGAUUAGCUAGUUGGUAGGGUAAAAGCCUACCAAGGCGACGAUCCAUAGCUGGUCUGAGAGGAUGAUCAGCCACACUGGGACUGAGACACGGCCCAGACUCCUACGGGAGGCAGCAGUGGGGAAUAAUGGACAAUGGGCGAAAGGCUGAUCCAGCAAUGGCGGGUGAGGGAUGAAGGCCUUAGGGUUGUAAAGCUCUUUUACCCGGGAUGAUAAUGACAGUACCGGGAGAAUAAGCUCCGGCUAACUCCGUG